Molecule: ribosomal RNA, 496 nt
Filed under: uncultured bacterium
Lineage: Bacteria
Description: partial 16S ribosomal RNA
Rfam family: Bacterial small subunit ribosomal RNA
Source: RNAcentral
GACGAACGCUGGCGGCGUGCCUAAUACAUGCAAGUUGAGCGCUGAAGGUUGGUACUUGUACCAACUGGAUGAGCAGCGAACGGGUGAGUAACGCGUGGGGAAUCUGCCUUUGAGCAGGGGACAACAUUUGGAAACGAAUGCUAAUACCGCAUAAAAACUUUAAACACAAGUUUUAAGUUUGAAAGAUGCAAUUGCAUCACUCAAAGAUGAUCCCGCGUUGUAUUAGCUAGUUGGUGAGGUAAAGGCUCACCAAGGCGAUGAUACAUAGCCGACCUGAGAGGGUGAUCGGCCACAUUGGGACUGAGACACGGCCCAAACUCCUACGGGAGGCAGCAGUAGGGAAUCUUCGGCAAUGGACGAAGGCCUGACGGAGCAACGCCGCGUGAGUGAUGAAGGUCUUCGGAUCGUAAAACUCUGUUAUUAGGGAAGAACAAAUGUGUAAGUAACUAUGCACGUCUUGACGGUACCUAAUCAGAAAGCCACGGCUAACUACGUG